RNAcentral lists this ribosomal RNA (461 nucleotides) under uncultured bacterium. Its description in RNAcentral is "bacterial SSU rRNA". It matches the Rfam family "Bacterial small subunit ribosomal RNA", at positions 28 to 507 of the family's 1533-position model. The record is from RNAcentral.
GACGAACGCUGGCGGCGUGCUUAACACAUGCAAGUCGAGCGGUAAGGCUCCUUCGGGAGUACACGAGCGGCGAACGGGUGAGUAACACGUGAGUAACCUGCCCCAAUCAUCGGGAUAACCAUUGGAAACGAUGGCUAAUACCGAAUACGACCACCGAAGGCAUCUUCUGGUGGUGGAAAGCUCCGGCGGAUUGGGAUGGACUCGCGGCCUAUCAGCUUGUUGGUGAGGUAAUGGCUCACCAAGGCAACGACGGGUAGCCGGCCUGAGAGGGUGACCGGCCACACUGGGACUGAGACACGGCCCAGACUCCUACGGGAGGCAGCAGUGGGGAAUAUUGGACAAUGGGCGCAAGCCUGAUCCAGCAACGCCGCGUGAGGGAUGACGGCCUUCGGUUGUAACUGCUUUAAGUAGGGAAGAAGAAUCUGACUGUACUUCUUGUAAUAAGCCCGGCUAACUACGUG